UACGGGGGGAGCAAGCGUUGUUCGGAUUUACUGGGCGUAAAGGGCGCGUAGGCGGCGCAACAAGUCACUUGUGAAAUCUCCGGGCUUAACCCGGAGCGGUCAAGUGAUACUGUCGUGCUAGAGUGCGGAAGGGGCAACUGGAAUUCUCGGUGUAGCGGUGAAAUGCGUAGAUAUCGGGAGGAACACCGGUGGCGAAGGCGGUUCUCUGGGCCUUACCUGACGCUGAGGAGCGAAAGCGUGGGGAGCGAACAGG
Molecule: ribosomal RNA, 253 nt
Filed under: uncultured bacterium
Lineage: Bacteria
Description: partial 16S ribosomal RNA
Rfam family: Bacterial small subunit ribosomal RNA
Source: RNAcentral